UACGAAGGGGGCUAGCGUUGUUCGGAAUUACUGGGCGUAAAGCGCACGUAGGCGGACUAUUAAGUCAGGGGUGAAAUCCCGGGGCUCAACCCCGGAACUGCCUUUGAUACUGGUAGUCUCGAGUCCGGAAGAGGCGAGUGGAAUUCCUGGUGUAGCGGUGGAAUGCGCAGAUAUCAGGAGGAACACCAACGGCGAAGGCAGCUCGCUGGGACGGUACUGACGCUGAGGCGCGAAAGCGUGGGGAGCGAACAGG
RNAcentral lists this ribosomal RNA (253 nucleotides) under uncultured bacterium. RNAcentral describes it as "partial 16S ribosomal RNA". It matches the Rfam family "Bacterial small subunit ribosomal RNA", at positions 524 to 776 of the family's 1533-position model. The record is from RNAcentral.